RNAcentral lists this ribosomal RNA (1560 nucleotides) under Smutsia gigantea (giant pangolin). RNAcentral describes it as "Manis gigantea (giant pangolin) 16S ribosomal RNA". It matches the Rfam family "Bacterial large subunit ribosomal RNA". The record is from RNAcentral. Lineage: Eukaryota; Metazoa; Chordata; Mammalia; Pholidota; Manidae.
ACAAACACUAGCCCAGCCAAUAUCUAACGAAGAAUUAAAAGAUUAUAAACUAAAACAUUUAUUAAUAUAAAGUAUAGGUGAUAGAAAUUACACUAUGGCGCUAUAGAAAUAGUACCGCAAGGGAAAGAUGAAAGACACAAAGUAACUGUAUAAAACAGCAAAGAUUAACACUUGUACCUUUUGCAUAAUGAAUUAGCUAGAAAACAUCUGACAAAGAGAACUUAAGCCAGAAACCCCGAAACUAGACGAGCUACCUUAGAGCAGUUUAAAGAACUAACUCAUCUAUGUGGCAAAAUAGUGAGAAGACUUAAAGGUAGAGGUAAGAAGCCUAACGAGCCUAGUGAUAGCUGGUUGUCCAAAAAAUGAAUUUAAGUUCAACUUGAAGUAUACCCAAAAAGCACAAGAACUAAAACGUAAACUCCAAGUAUAGUCUAAAAAGGUACAGCUUUUUAGAAACAGUUAGAACCUUUAUUAGAGAGUAAACAAUUAAGCAUCCAUAGUUGGCCUUAAAGCAGCCAUCAAUUAAGAAAGCGUUCAAGCUCAACAAUAAAACAUUAAUAACUCCAGAAAAUUAAAUCAACUCCUAAAUCAACAUUGGACCAAUCUACUUAUAAGUAGAAGAAAUACUGCUAAUAUGAGUAACAAGAUAUUAAUCUCCUUGCAUGAGCUUAUAUCAGAACGGAUAGUCCACUGAUAGUUAACAACAUGACAAAAUCAAAUUAAAUAUUAAAACUUGUCCAAUAAAUUGUUAACCCAACACAGGUAUGCAUACAAAAGGAAAGAUUCUAACAAAUGAAAGGAACUCGGCAAACACAAGUCCCGCCUGUUUACCAAAAACAUCACCUCUAGCAUAACUAGUAUUAGAGGCACUGCCUGCCCAGUGACCAUGUUAAACGGCCGCGGUAUCCUGACCGUGCAAAGGUAGCAUAAUCACUUGUUCUCUAAAUAAGGACUAGUAUGAAUGGCUAAACGAGGACUUUACUGUCUCUCAUCUGUAAUCAGUGAAAUUGACCUUCCCGUGAAAAGGCGGGAAUAAUAAAAUAAGACGAGAAGACCCUAUGGAGCUUCAAUUACCAGCUUAAAAUUAUCCACACACACACUUCUAAGGAAAUAAAAACUAAUUAUAUAAGCAACUAAUUUUGGUUGGGGUGACCUCGGAGAAAAAAAUAACCUCCGAGCGGUUUAAAUCCAGACUGACAAGUCUAAAUAAUCCAUCAAUUGAUCCAAUAUUUGAUCAACGGAACAAGUUACCCUAGGGAUAACAGCGCAAUCCUAUUCAAGAGUCCCUAUCGACAAUAGGGUUUACGACCUCGAUGUUGGAUCAAGACAUCCCAAUGGCGCAGCUGCUAUUAACGGUUCGUUUGUUCAACGAUUAAAGUCUUACGUGAUCUGAGUUCAGACCGGAGUAAUCCAGGUCGGUUUCUAUCUAUUUAUACAUUUUUCCCAGUACGAAAGGACAAGAAAAAUAGGGCCUACCUUACAUAGACGCCCUCAAACUAAUAAAUGACGCCCUCUUAAUUUAAUUAGUUUAUAAUAAAUUUAAUCCUAGACAUAGGAAUC